UCCCUUUGGACUAACUUCUUCAUCACAUAUCCUAAAAUUGGGACUUUCGGCCAAGGGCUUGAAGGGAACUUUUUUUGGCUUCUCCUAGGGACUUCUAGGGUCUUGAACCUGCACAUGAGAAGAGAAAAUACUAGAAAAAAUGCUAGCAUUUGGGUUAGUGAAUAACAAGGGUCCUUUGUGGACAAGAUCCACAAUCAAGCAUUUUUUCCCUUUCUAACUUCACUACCCACGGUUUCCUCUUACUUUUCCCUUCU
RNAcentral lists this long non-coding RNA (254 nucleotides) under Capsicum annuum. Its description in RNAcentral is "long non-coding RNA (CANN_LNC006668)". The record is from RNAcentral. Lineage: Eukaryota; Viridiplantae; Streptophyta; Magnoliopsida; Solanales; Solanaceae.